AGUGAACGCUGGCGGUAGGCCUAACACAUGCAAGUCGAACGGCAGCACAGUAAGAGCUUGCUCUUACGGGUGGCGAGUGGCGGACGGGUGAGGAAUACAUCGGAAUCUACUUUUUCGUGGGGGAUAACGUAGGGAAACUUACGCUAAUACCGCAUACGACCUACGGGUGAAAGCAGGGGAUCUUCGGACCUUGCGCGAUUGAAUGAGCCGAUGUCGGAUUAGCUAGUUGGCGGGGUAAAGGCCCACCAAGGCGACGAUCCGUAGCUGGUCUGAGAGGAUGAUCAGCCACACUGGAACUGAGACACGGUCCAGACUCCUACGGGAGGCAGCAGUGGGGAAUAUAGGACAAUGGGCGCAAGCCUGAUCCAGCCAUACCGCGUGGGUGAAGAAGGCCUGCGGGUUGUAAAGCCCUUUUGUUGGGAAAGAAAAGCAGCAGGUUAAUACCCCGCUGUUCUGACGGUACCCAAAGAAUAAGCACCGGCUAACUUCGU
Molecule: ribosomal RNA, 491 nt
Filed under: uncultured bacterium
Lineage: Bacteria
Description: partial 16S ribosomal RNA
Rfam family: Bacterial small subunit ribosomal RNA
Source: RNAcentral